RNAcentral lists this small nuclear RNA (102 nucleotides) under Moschus moschiferus (Siberian musk deer). Lineage: Eukaryota; Metazoa; Chordata; Mammalia; Artiodactyla; Moschidae. The record is from RNAcentral.
GUGCUCACUUCAGCAGCACAUAUACUAAAAUUGGAACAAUACAGAUUAGCAUGGCCCCUGCGCAAGGAUGACAUGCAAAUUUGUGAAGCGUUCCAUAUUUUU